Molecule: long non-coding RNA, 709 nt
Organism: Symphalangus syndactylus (siamang)
Lineage: Eukaryota; Metazoa; Chordata; Mammalia; Primates; Hylobatidae
Source: RefSeq, a predicted model, not a curated record
UGUGAACUUGGGCAAGUGACUUAAUCCUCUGCGUUUCGUCUCUAAAUUGGGGAGAAUAGAAGCAUCUACUUCAUGUAGUAGCCAGGAUUAGAAGAGAACUUAACACAUGGACAUCUGCAAGGCAGUCUGCAGACUAUAGUUUAGAUGUGUUCCCAGAAGGAAAGUGAAGUGGAUUUGAUGACUAGCUAGCCAGUCUCCUGCCCCAGGUUCUGGGACUAAGAGAUGCACCAGCCCAGAGAAGCAGCAGUCCAAAGAUGGGGCCACUUGAGGGAAAAGACCUACCCAAGGGCACAUAAUCUGUACAUGAGAGAGAGCCAGGUGUAACAGACUGAGUACUGGACUUGGGGUUAAACAGACUGUGAAUCCUUCCACCCCAUUGGCAAGGGAGGAAUAACUGGGCCCUGGAUAGAAUGUGAUGAAUGAAUAUUCUUAAUGAGAAGUGGAAAUAAUUUGUGGUUGAGAGCUGUGCCUCAGAUCAGAGUGACAGGAUACAUGGGUAGGCUAUAUUUUCCAGCAGAUUAAGAGCUGUAGCCCAAGACUCUGAAAUAUGAAGAAAAAAGGAGAAGAUGACAGCAUGUCUUUUUAAAGAAAUAUUUUCCAGCCAAAUGGUGCAGCAGAGGACUUCCAGGAAUUUGUUCUUGUUCUCUAUCAAAGGUGAAGAGUUCAUAGCCUUCAAGGAAACAAGAAACCAUGGGAUGGAGUGAAGGAA